AAGCCAGUGACUUUUCUUUUUUGUUUCCAAUGAAAGAAAAGAAAAUUGUAAUAGCACACAGCUACCCAUUUGCACCAAUUAAAGUUCUACAUUCCCAUCAUCCCAUGCUCGCCGCCCCAUCUCGAGAUUUUCUUUCCCUUUGCCCAAUUCUACGGCUCUCAAAAUUAUUUUCCCAAUCCUAUUGCUCCAAGUUUUUCGAACUUUCCCUCCCUAUUCCACACCUUAUUCUCAGCCCCUAUUCCCUUCGGCCUCUUCGCUCACCGGCGUUCUCAAGGCGGUUCGUGAUCUCUCAAGACAGUGUUCGAGUGCUCGAAGAAACCACUCCAACCUCCCCGAGAAAGCUUACUGCUUCCUAUCAUGUGCUUCUCUUUGCUGGUGAGUGGUGAUGGUGUCAAAAUAGAUGAGGAGAUGUCAAAUUUGCUUCCUUCUCAGAAAAGGAAAAUUAGACAAAAACAAAGAAAGGCAGAAGCAAGAGCUAAGAAAGGGGCAGAGGAAAAGAAUGAAGAGUUAAGUGUCAGUGAGGUAUUCAAGUCUAGGAAACGGCAUGUAAAACCUAUGAAUCCUGAUCCACAUGGGGAGAAGUUAUUGCAGGUGAUGUGGAGAUGGGCUAAACAAUAAGAAUUGAUACAUACUCUAGUGGGGAUGCUGACAGAGCUUUAGAUUGCCUGUGGCAGAGGAAGAAGGCUGAGAUUAAGCUGCAAUAUAUUUUGCUUUCAAGGUCUAUUUUUGUUAGAGAUAUUUGAGUAUUAAAAUCAACAUAAAGUUGAAACAUUUGUUUGCAGAGAGGAUCAGCCGAGAAAGAACUUUUGCAACAAAGUGAAGGAACCACAUUCCAUGAAAAGGUAUCUACACGAUUCAACAUUGUCGUCAUUGGAGGUUCACCUUGAUUUUAUUGUUCUCAUCUCAUUACAUAUUUUGAGAAGAAAAUUGUGAUGAAAAAUUGAUUAUAAUUUUUGGCUGAGAACAAUCAAAUAAGCUUUAUUUUUAACCUUUGAAAGAGAUUGCUUUGCCAUGAAUUUUUCUAUUUUAGUGAAAAGAGAUUAACCUUUGUAUCAAUUGUUUCUCCUGUUUAUGAGAUCUUUUUCUGAAGAUCUGUAUAGUUUAGUUGAGGUAUAAGUUGUUUAGUUUCUAUUAAUGAGAUCCUUUUCUGAAGAUCAGUAUAUUUUAGUUAAAGCUAAAAGCUAAUCGUAGUAAUGAGAUCCUUCUUAAUAAACCACGUGCUGCUUUGGUCAAAGAUCCAACCAAGGAUCCUGCUGAUUUUGAAGUUCCUGCUGAUGUUUUGGAACUCAUUGAUCAAACAUUUCUAUUCAAAAUUGAAGUCAAUAACAACUCAAACUCAAUAUUUGAACCAUCGUACUGAGUUAAGAAAAUCUGCUCUGACUCAGAGGUUAUGUGUCAGUUUCAGGCAUCCCUUCCCUCUAUUGAGGGUUCCGCUCCAUUGUUGAUUAUGGGGACCCCUACUUCAGUGCUGAAGGGUGAAUCUUCAUCUCCGAUUAUAGAGGAGUUUUCCCUGAGGAAUAGCUUGGAUCAACUAGACAUCAUUUUGCUAAUUUAUUAUCAAUUUUGUAUAUCAUUCAUUGCGACACUGUGUAGAACCUCAAAUCCUUUUCAUAAUGGAGUUGUUCUUA
This is a long non-coding RNA of Lotus japonicus, 1628 nucleotides long. RefSeq lists it as uncharacterized. The record is from RefSeq and is a predicted model, not a curated record. The transcript has 6 exons. NCBI's taxonomy places the organism in Eukaryota, Viridiplantae, Streptophyta, Magnoliopsida, Fabales, Fabaceae.